GAGGGCUUCUUCAAAAGAAGACGUAGUUGAUGAAGAUGUUCUGGAGCAGAAAGACCACGACCAAGCAGCCUGGAGAUCUGAGGCAGCGUCUCCCUCAGGGGGGUGUCAACGGUGUUCACGGUCAGACCAAAGAACUACAGACUCGUCACAACCUGCUCAAACUCUUGGUACAGGACCUCACCACACAGGUCAAGAAGGUUUCCUUCUUCUCAUUUCUACUCUGAAGCUCACCUUCUCCUGCUCAGACUGCUGACAAAUGUUUCUGCUGCUCUAAAGUCUGGCCUCCAGAACUUCCUAAAAACUCUCAAAGUCUCUUCUGCUGUAGGUUGCUUUGUAGAACUGUUCCAGAAAACCUCACUAAACCACAUGGAGGGGCCUCAAGAUAGUCGUCCAAAUGAAACUGUACAAAAACCAAACUAGCACAACCCAAAAGCUAAAGUCUCCUGCAGCCUACCAGAGAAGCUCUUUAAACAGAGAAUCAGGACAGGAACUCUUACCUUCUGGACAACCAACGUUGGUUCACAAACAAGAAUACAGAAUGUGUCUGACCAAAAACCUCUAAAGACUCACUACAGCUUACUGGAAGUCCAGAGGGCUGGCUUCUUCUUCUUCUUCUUCUUCUUCUUCUUCUUAUAACUUUCCGGCAGGCUGGAUGUUUUGCAUCACAUUGCUGCCUCUCACAGAUCAGGGUGAGAAUGCAGAAUUUAGACCAUUCCUACUUCCAAAGACGUAAUCCUGUGGAGUUGAUUAAGUGAAGGACUGCGUUCACCGUCCUUGCCUGGUUCUCUCUGGGAUUAAGGAGACUCCUCAUUGUGAUUGAUUCCAUUCCCUCAUGUGACAACUUGGCAUAUAACUCAUUUCAUUUCAUUUCAUUUAUUCUUUUCCAUGGUAAUGCGUAAAAAAAACAACAACAAAUGGAUACAAUUUAUAAAGCACAAAAUACGCACAUCCCAUGUACAAGAACAGGAGUAGGAUGAAGAAUAAGUCUUUUUAACUCCUACCCCAGUCUUUUUUUCAAACUCAAACAGAAAACAACCACAACAAAAAACAUCAGAUGGCCACAAUCAAUCUACAGAUCAAUCACAUCAUUGUUAUUGCUCCUUUGCGUAAAUGUUAAAUAUUUUUUCUUUAAACUUACAUUUAAAGUGCAAAAUGUUUGAACAUUGCUUCACUUCUUUUUCCAAGGAAUUCCAUUUUUCCACCCCCGCGACAGAUACACACAUUCCUUUAAGAGUCGUUCUUGCAGAAUUAUAUUUAAAGUCAAGAUUUCUUCUACUUGUUUCACUAUUCAAAGUAAAAAGUGUUUGCCAACCACAAGGUAGCAAGCCUCUUUUUGCUUUAUGCAUGACUAUUAAUGUUUGUAAAACAAUUAAAUCCUUCAAUUUUAAUAGUCCUGACUUCAGGAACAGUUUUGUUGUAUGCUCUUUUGAAGCGGCUUUAUUAAUUAUUCUAAGAGCCCUCUUUUGUAAAAUAACUAAGGGUAACAGAUGAGUAGGAUAUGAAUUACCCCAAACCUCCAAACAGUAUACCAAAUAUGGUAAAAUUAAAGAACAGUAUAAUAUUCUCAAUGCAUUAUCAUUUAACAAAUACUUAACUUUACUCAUCACACCUAUAUUUCUACAUAUUUUCUUCUUUACGUGUCCAAUAUGCGACUUCCAUUUCAACUUUUCGUCGAUGAAUACUCCUAAGAACUUAAAUUCAGACACUCUUUCUAUACACUGUCCAUUUAAAUUCAAGUUUACAAUUUCUGGACUUUUUUGAUUUGAAAACAACAUAAACUUUGUUUUGCUUAAAUUUAAUGAUAAUGUAUUUUUAUUAAAUCAUUUCUGAAGCAGGACCAUUUCUGUCUCAAUCGUUUUUAUUAAUGUUUUUAAAUUAUUUCCAGACACAAAAAAAUUUGUGUCAUCUGCAAAAAGGACAAAGCGCAACACUUUUGAAAAUUCACAGAGGUCAUUAAUAUAUAAAAUAAAAAGUUUGGGCCCUAAUACUGAGCCUUGUGGAACUCCACACUGAAUUGUUUCUAAUUUGGAUUGAUAACCUGCAAACUCAACAUAUUGUUGUCUAUUUUUUAAAUAACUAGCGACCCAAUCUAAUGCAAUCCCUCUAAUUCCAUAUUUCUGUAGUUUGGAUAUCAUUAUUCCAUGGUCAAGCGUAUCAAAGGCUUUUUUAAGAUCAAUAAAAACUCCAAUUGUGUGAUUCCUAUUAUCUAAUUGUGUGGUAAUGUCCUCAGUGAUUUUCAGUAAUGCCAAGGCUGUUGAGUGACGACUUCGAAAGCCAAACUGAUUUUCAUGUAACAACAAAUGUUUUUCAAUAAAAGAAUCAAGUUUUUUAACAAACAGCUUCUCCAAUAUUUUUGAAAAUUGGGACAGUAAAGAUAUUGGCCUAUAAUUUGUAAGACAUUUCCUUUCGCCUGAUUUAAAAAGAGGAAUAACCUUGGCUACCUUCAUCUUAUCUGGGAAUACCCCUGUACUGAAUGACAAAUUAAAUAUGUAGGUUAAUGGGCUUAAUAUACAAUGUAUACUUUCUUUAAUAAUGAACAUAUCUAGACCAUCACUAUCACAUGAUUUUUUACUUUUCAGUUUGAAACCAUUGCUGUGCAGUGCACAGUGCAUAACUGUGUUCUUUGUUCUUUGAAGUUGGUGAAGAUGGCUUUAAGCGGUACGAUGUCAUCACUGCUUUGGACAUGGACGCCAUGAUGAGUAGGAUCAACGUGUGGCUGGAGAACCCGGUGAAGUUUGAGAAGUCUCAUGGUGUUAAUAACACCCUGGACACAGAGAUGGUCCCGAAGUCUGACCACAAGGAGGAGGAGGAGACUCACAUCCUCACUGUGGAGGGCUUCCUGCUCCACACCUACAGGCCUUUGAUGGACGUGCUAAACCAGCGUUACUUUAUUUCCAUCCCAUAUGAAGAAUGCAAAAAGAGGAGGUUUUCUAGGAAGUACACGGUGCCAGACCCCCCCCCCCCCCCCCCCCCCCCGACCUGUUCAAUGUCCACAUCUGGACCAUGGACCUGCAGCACAAGAACAUUUGCUCACUGUGAAAGAUUACUGAGAGCAGCUUUUAGUGAUUUCUAUGCAGAACACUAUGAUGUUUGCUGAGCUGUGCACUAUUAAAUGACUUAAGAAUA
Long non-coding RNA from Acanthochromis polyacanthus (spiny chromis), 3126 nucleotides. RefSeq lists it as uncharacterized. The transcript is spliced from 2 exons. NCBI's taxonomy places the organism in Eukaryota, Metazoa, Chordata, Actinopteri, Pomacentridae. The record is from RefSeq and is a predicted model, not a curated record.